AUCCUUUGUUUUCAAUGUUUAAAUUAAUUUAUCUUUGUCUUGUUGCAAUCAUGAGGAGCUAAACAUGUUUUAGCUAGGGGUGAAUUUGAAACCAUGAUUAUAUAUGUAAUAUGAGUUGGUUAUUUCCAGUUAUAAUUUUGUGAAUUGUGAAUGCAAUUUACUUAACUGUUUAAUUUAGAACUUAUUCAUGUUUGUUGAUUAAGGAUGCAUGCUUCGUUUGCAUGCAUGAAU
RNAcentral lists this long non-coding RNA (231 nucleotides) under Malus domestica (apple). Its description in RNAcentral is "long non-coding RNA (MDOM_LNC020113)". The record is from RNAcentral. Lineage: Eukaryota; Viridiplantae; Streptophyta; Magnoliopsida; Rosales; Rosaceae.